GGCGGCGUGCUUUAAGCAUGCAAGUCGAACGCAUCCCCGCAAGGGGGUGAGUGGCAGACGGCUGAGGAGAACGGAAGGAACCUACCCACCCGAGGGGGAUAACUCCGCGAAAGCGGGGCUAAGACCGCGUACGCUCGUCGGCGGAGGGGCCGAUGAGGAAAACCGCAAGGUGCGGGUGGAGGGGCUUCCGGCCCAUCAGGUAGUUGGUGUGGUAAGAGCGCACCAAGCCGAUGACGGGUUGCUGGUCUGAGAGGAUGACCAGCCAGACUGGGACUGAGACACGGCCCAGACUCCUACGGGAGGCAGCAGCUAGGAAUCUUGCACAAUGGGCGCAAGCCUGAUGCAGCGACGCCGCGUGGGGGACGACGGUCUUCGGAUUGUAAACCCCUUUUGGGUGGGAAGAGGAAGGACGGUACCACCCGAAGAAGCCCCGGCUAACUACGUGCCAGCAGCCGCGGUAAUACGUAGGGGGCGAGCGUUGUCCGGAUUUACUGGGCGUAAAGAGCGC
RNAcentral lists this ribosomal RNA (508 nucleotides) under uncultured bacterium. RNAcentral describes it as "bacterial SSU rRNA". It matches the Rfam family "Bacterial small subunit ribosomal RNA", at positions 38 to 570 of the family's 1533-position model. The record is from RNAcentral.